GAUGAACGCUGGCGGCGUGCCUAAUACAUGCAAGUCGAGCGAACAGACGAGGAGCUUGCUCCUCUGACGUUAGCGGCGGACGUGUGAGUAACACGUGGAUAACCUACCUAUAAGACUGGGAUAACUUCGGGAAACCGGAGCUAAUACCGGAUAAUAUAUUGAACCGCAUGGUUCAAUAGUGAAAGACGGUUUUGCUGUCACUUAUAGAUGGAUCCGCGCCGCAUUAGCUAGUUGGUAAGGUAACGGCUUACCAAGGCAACGAUGCGUAGCCGACCUGAGAGGGUGAUCGGCCACCCUGGAACGGAGACACGGUCCAGACUCCUACGGGAGGCAGCAGUAGGGAAUCUUCCGCAAUGGGCGAAAGCCUGACGGAGCAACGCCGCGUGAGUGAUGAAGGUCUUCGGAUCGUAAAACUCUGUUAUUAGGGAAGAACAAAUGUGUAAGUAACUAUGCACGUCUUGACGGUACCUAAUCAGAAAGCCACGGCUAACUACGUG
Molecule: ribosomal RNA, 497 nt
Filed under: uncultured bacterium
Lineage: Bacteria
Description: partial 16S ribosomal RNA
Rfam family: Bacterial small subunit ribosomal RNA
Source: RNAcentral